CACGACCCCCCCCGUCCGCCAGAAAAUUACGAGCAAGACCUCCCCUUUAGCCUAAAACUCAAAAGACUUGACGGUGUCCCAAUCUACCUAGAGGAGCCUGUUACAUAAUCGAUAACCCACGAUCAACCCAACCACCCCUCGAAUAUAACAUCAGCCUAUAUACCGCCGUCACCAGCCCACCUUAAAAGAAAUAAAGUAGGCACAAUAGUCUAUUACUAAUACGUCAGGUCAAGGUGUAGCCCAUGAGGUGGUGCCAAUGGGCUACAUUAUCUCCCACAGAUCACCCACGAACUAUUUUUUGAUAUAAUUAUACAAAGGCGGAUUUAGCAGUAAACUAGGUCAGAAUACUUAAUUUAACACCUGCGCUGGGACA
This 373-nucleotide ribosomal RNA is filed under the name Loxopholis caparensis. RNAcentral describes it as "partial small subunit ribosomal RNA". The record is from RNAcentral. Lineage: Eukaryota; Metazoa; Chordata; Lepidosauria; Squamata; Gymnophthalmidae.